UACAGAGGUGGCAAGCGUUGUUCGGAAUUACUGGGCGUAAAGGGCGAGUAGGCGGCCUUCUAAGUCAGACGUGAAAUCCCCCGGCUUAACCUGGGAACUGCGUCUGAUACUGGGAGGCUAGAGUAUGGGAGAGGGAUGUGGAAUUCCGGGUGUAGUGGUGAAAUGCGUAGAGAUCCGGAGGAACACCAGUGGCGAAGGCGACGCGCUGGGCCGUACCUGACACUGAUGCGCGACAGCAUGGGGAGCAAACAGG
Molecule: ribosomal RNA, 253 nt
Filed under: uncultured bacterium
Lineage: Bacteria
Description: partial 16S ribosomal RNA
Rfam family: Bacterial small subunit ribosomal RNA
Source: RNAcentral